UAUUAUUUUCUGAUUCUAGACUUAUUCAGCAAUUAGACCUAAUUGCCAGCAGACUGUUCCAAUCUUAAUACUGUUCAAACAUUUGAUGAAAACUGUAGGAGGAGAGCAAAGGCCAUCUUACAAGUAUUCAAGAAGCAACAAGACUUUCUUGGGAAAAGAAAACUUAUGUCAUGAGCACAGCCACAAUCAUCUGUAUUUCCAGGUCAGACAUCACUAAUUGACUACUGCACACUUUACUUCCGAGUAAGUGGCUUUGAAGAACAGAAAAAAGGCUGUGCUCUCAAUACACUUCAAGAGAUGCAAAAUCAGAUGAUGACAGAGGAGUGUACAGGUGAUGGAAAUGAGUGGAGCUGGAAGGUUGAAAGACAACAGA
Molecule: long non-coding RNA, 373 nt
Organism: Eptesicus fuscus (big brown bat)
Lineage: Eukaryota; Metazoa; Chordata; Mammalia; Chiroptera; Vespertilionidae
Exons: 3
Source: RefSeq, a predicted model, not a curated record